RNAcentral lists this ribosomal RNA (253 nucleotides) under uncultured bacterium. RNAcentral describes it as "partial 16S ribosomal RNA". It matches the Rfam family "Bacterial small subunit ribosomal RNA", at positions 524 to 776 of the family's 1533-position model. The record is from RNAcentral.
UACGUAGGGUGCAAGCGUUAAUCGGAAUUACUGGGCGUAAAGGGUGCGUAGGCGGUUCGUUAUGUCUGUGGUGAAAGCCCUGGGCUCAACCUAGGAAUGGCCAUGGAAACUGGCGGGCUGGAGUAUGGCAGAGGGGGGUGGAAUUCCGCGUGUAGCAGUGAAAUGCGUAGAGAUGCGGAGGAACACCGAUGGCGAAGGCAGCCCCCUGGGCUAAUACUGACGCUGAGGCACGAAAGCGUGGGGAGCAAACAGG